UGUAUUCACUACUGUAAGUCGCUCUGGAUAAGAGCGUCUGCUAAAUGGCUUAAA
Salmo salar (Atlantic salmon) is the source of this 54-nucleotide non-coding RNA. The record is from Rfam. Lineage: Eukaryota; Metazoa; Chordata; Actinopteri; Salmoniformes; Salmonidae.